Molecule: transfer RNA, 73 nt
Filed under: Acinetobacter phage Acj9
Lineage: Duplodnaviria; Heunggongvirae; Uroviricota; Caudoviricetes; Pantevenvirales; Straboviridae
Rfam family: tRNA
About the family: Transfer RNA (tRNA) molecules are approximately 80 nucleotides in length. Their secondary structure includes four short double-helical elements and three loops (D, anti-codon, and T loops).
Source: Rfam by way of RNAcentral
GGGCCUUUAGCUCAAUUGGCAGAGCAGCCCACUCAUAAUGGGUUGGUUUUCGGUUCGAGUCCGGGAAGGCCCA